This 859-nucleotide ribosomal RNA is filed under the name uncultured bacterium. RNAcentral's name for it is "bacterial SSU rRNA". It matches the Rfam family "Bacterial small subunit ribosomal RNA", at positions 8 to 881 of the family's 1533-position model. The record is from RNAcentral.
AGAGUUUGAUCCUGGCUCAGGACGAACGCUGGCGGCGCGCCUAACACAUGCAAGUCGAACGAGAGAUGAGGAGCUUGCUCUUCAAAUCGAGUGGCGAACGGGUGAGUAACGCGUGAGGAACCUGCCUCAAAGAGGGGGACAACAGUUGGAAACGACUGCUAAUACCGCAUAAGCCCACAGCUCGGCAUCGAGCAGAGGGAAAAGGAGUGAUCCGCUUUGAGAUGGCCUCGCGUCCGAUUAGCUAGUUGGUGAGGUAACGGCCACCAAGGCAACGAUCGGUAGCCGGACUGAGAGGUUGAACGGCCACAUUGGGACUGAGACACGGCCCAGACUCCUACGGGAGGCAGCAGUGGGGAAUAUUGCACAAUGGGGGAAACCCUGAUGCAGCGACGCCGCGUGGAGGAAGAAGGUUUUCGGAUUGUAAACUCCUGUCGUUAGGGACGAUAAUGACGGUACCUAACAAGAAAGCACCGGCUAACUACGUGCCAGCAGCCGCGGUAAAACGUAGGGUGCAAGCGUUGUCCGGAAUUACUGGGUGUAAAGGGAGCGCAGGCGGACCGGCAAGUUGGAAGUGAAAACUAUGGGCUCAACCCAUAAAUUGCUUUCAAAACUGCUGGCCUUGAGUAGUGCAGAGGUAGGUGGAAUUCCCGGUGUAGCGGUGGAAUGCGUAGAUAUCGGGAGGAACACCAGUGGCGAAGGCGACCUACUGGGCACCAACUGACGCUGAGGCUCGAAAGCAUGGGUAGCAAACAGGAUUAGAUACCCUGGUAGUCCAUGCCGUAAACGAUGAUUACUAGGUGUUGGAGGAUUGACCCCUUCAGUGCCGCAGUUAACACAAUAAGUAAUCCACCUGGGGAGU